Molecule: ribosomal RNA, 489 nt
Filed under: uncultured bacterium
Lineage: Bacteria
Description: bacterial SSU rRNA
Rfam family: Bacterial small subunit ribosomal RNA
Source: RNAcentral
GAUAAACGCUGGCGGCGCACAUAAGACAUGCAAGUCGAACGGACUUAACUCAUUCUUUUAGAUUGAGAGCGGUUAGUGGCGGACUGGUGAGUAACACGUAAGCAACCUGCCUAUCAGAGGGGAAUAACAACGAGAAAUCGUUGCUAAUACCGCAUAAGCUAGUAGCAUCGCAUGAUGUAGCUAGAAAAGGAGCAAUCCGCUGAUAGAUGGGCUUGCGUCUGAUUAGCUAGUUGGUGGGGUAACGGCCUACCAAGGCGACGAUCAGUAGCCGGACUGAGAGGUUGACCGGCCACAUUGGGACUGAGAUACGGCCCAGACUCCUACGGGAGGCAGCAGUGGGGAAUAUUGGGCAAUGGGCGCAAGCCUGACCCAGCAACGCCGCGUGAAGGAAGAAGGCUUUCGGGUUGUAAACGUCCUUUUAAGAGGGUAAGAGCAGAGGACUGUACCUCUAGAAUAAGCCACGGCUAACUACGUGCCAGCAGCCGCGGU